AUGGAAGUUCCCAGGCUGGGGUCGAAUCGGAGCUACAGCUACUGGCCUACACCACAACCACAGCAAUGCCAGAUCUGAGCUGCAUCUGUGACCUACACCACAUCUCAUGGCAAUGGUGAACCCUCAUCCUCAUGGUUCCCAGUCGGAUUUGUUAACCACUGCACCACGGCGGGAACUCCUUUUUUUUUCUUUUGAAUUUGUUGACCCCACAUUUCUCAGAAGCUUCCGUUUACUAAAUUUUCAACAAGCUCACAAACCUACCAGAUUUGCUUCCCAAAAUUCCAAGCUCUGGUUUUCUUUGAGAACAAGGCAAACUGUCUGGAUACACACUUAAAGUUAUAAACAUAGAGGGCACAAAGUCUGAGAGCUUCCAACACUUGGCUCAUCAGAAACACUAGAGAAAGAGAAGAAGGGAGGGAAGGGGUGUGUGUGUGUGUGUGUGUGUGUGUGAAGGACGUAAAUAUUCGUGUGAUUUCUCUUUCAUGCUAGAAAGCAUCUGGGAUUUGGUACAAGGCUUGAGGCUUGAGAUUGGAGUUGUGUUCUGAAGAAACGAGGGGGACUUGAGAGGGCUGAAAGAGGUAGCACGAUGAAUCUCAAUGUGACAUGUAAACAAAGGAAAUGAGUAAUUGAAAAUAUCCUGUCUGUGUAUUCAUUUUCUGCAUACACGGACAAAGGCCAGGGUAUGAAACAAAUAGUUUCGGCCUUACUGUUACUUUGCUCUAUUAAAAAAAAAAAAAAGUAACAUAGAAGUAUUUCCAUAAAUUUCAUAAAAUUCUAUUCAAGAAGGAAAAAUACCAUACUGUUUUUGUCCACAUUGGAAAAUUCCUUUUCAAAUAGUUUGGGUAAAUUAUUGGGAGACGUGUCAGAGGAUUAAGCUUUCCUGGUUAAACCUAGAAAGUAAAACCUCAUAAAAUGAUGCCUUUGGAGCAGAUUUUGGAGUCAAACAGUUCGAGACAAAUAUUUCAGUGUCCCAUUAUAAGAAUGAUUUCUUGACUUUUAGGCUUGAGGUUUUCCUUUUCUGGGAGAACUGCCCACAUCGGCCUUCUCCUGCCCUUCCCCAGGAUGUGCAGACACAGUGAACUAAGCUCUUCCUGCUAUAAAAAAGACUGUCCAGAGCAAGACUGCCCAUCAGAAAUAGAGCGCCCACUAUGAGUAUAAUUUUCAAUGUUUUAGUAGCCACAUUUAAAAAAGUAAACACAGGAAUUCCCUGGUGGUGCAGUGGGUUGGGGAUCUGGCAUUGUCACUGCUGUGGCAUGGGUUCAGUCCCUGGCCCAGGAUCUUCCACAUGCUGUAGGUGUGGUCAAAAAAAGUAAAAGUAAAUAGAUGAAAUUAACUUUAUUUAUAUAUUUUAUUUAACUCAAUAUAUCCAAAAUACUAUUAAGUUAACAUGUUGAAAGCAGCUCUCUGGCCCCUUUCCUGUUUGGCUUCUUCUGUUCCCCUCUAACCUUUAAAGAACCUAAUUAACCUGUUGAUUCUUUUCCUAGAUAAAAAGAAGCAAGAAUAAAGAAUUAAGCAGUAUAAAAAUGACUAGCUCUCUUCCCCCAGCAUCUCCCUUAGCAAUCCUGCAGGCAGAUCAUGGAGGUAAGGUAAACUGUAGAGUCAACCGGUCUACAUGCAACAAGUAAAGUGGCAAAUUUAAUAAUGUAUCUAAAAGAUGCACAGCCAUAUAUAUGUCUAAUUCUACCUUAACUUUUUUCAACCUUUUCUGU
This 1709-nucleotide long non-coding RNA is filed under the name Sus scrofa (pig). RNAcentral describes it as "lncRNA (ENSSSCG00025013202.1)". The record is from RNAcentral. Lineage: Eukaryota; Metazoa; Chordata; Mammalia; Artiodactyla; Suidae.